AUCGCGGACCGGGCCCCUCUGGCGCGCUAUCCUUGGCGCGUGAUGUCGGACCGCAUCG
This is a regulatory RNA element of Sphingobium sp. EP60837, 58 nucleotides long. It matches the Rfam family "terC RNA". The record is from Rfam. NCBI's taxonomy places the organism in Bacteria, Pseudomonadati, Pseudomonadota, Alphaproteobacteria, Sphingomonadales, Sphingobiaceae.